ACAUUGCAAGGAUGCCUCAAAAUACUUUAAUGGGCAUGGAAGAUCGAGAAGAUGUCAGAGGUGAUGAUGUAAAGAAGGGAACUGGGGUCCAUAUAGCGACUCCUUAUCCUGCUAAGAAGGCUGGUAAGAGUGACAAAUCAAAGCAAGAAACUCCAAAAUCUGCUGCUACUCCAGUCGCUUGCAACACUUGUAGCAAGACAUUCAACUCGGAGAAGGGACUAGAAUCUCAUAGUAACGC
Papaver somniferum (opium poppy) is the source of this 238-nucleotide long non-coding RNA. RefSeq lists it as uncharacterized. The record is from RefSeq and is a predicted model, not a curated record. NCBI's taxonomy places the organism in Eukaryota, Viridiplantae, Streptophyta, Magnoliopsida, Ranunculales, Papaveraceae. The transcript has 3 exons.